GUCUCGCUGGUUUAAUGGUAAAACGGAAUGGUCCUAACAUUUUGAUUAAAGUUCGAGUCUUUAGUGAGAUU
This is a non-coding RNA of Cryomyces minteri, 71 nucleotides long. Lineage: Eukaryota; Fungi; Ascomycota; Dothideomycetes. The record is from the annotation of a GenBank genome assembly.